RNAcentral lists this ribosomal RNA (460 nucleotides) under uncultured bacterium. RNAcentral describes it as "partial 16S ribosomal RNA". It matches the Rfam family "Bacterial small subunit ribosomal RNA", at positions 338 to 795 of the family's 1533-position model. The record is from RNAcentral.
CCUACGGGUGGCAGCAGUGAGGAAUAUUGGUCAAUGGGCGCGAGCCUGAACCAGCCAAGUAGCUUGAAGGAUGACUGCCCUACGGGUUGUAAACUUCUUUUAUCAAGGAAUAAAACGAGGCACGUGUGCCUUUUUUCUUGUACUUUAUCAAUAAGAGUCCGCUAACUCCCCGUCAGCAGCGGCGGUAAUACGGAGGAGCCGAGGGUUAUCCGGAUUUAUUGGGUUUAAAGGGAGCGUAGAUGGGUUGUUAAGUCAGUUGUGAAAGUUUGCGGCUCAACCGUAAAAUUGCAAUUGAUACUGGCAGUCUUGAGUACAGUUGAGGUAGGCGGAAUUCGUGGUGUAGCGGUGAAAUGCUUAGAUAUCACGAAGAACCCCGAUUGCGAAGGCAGCUUACUAAACUGUGACUGACAUUGAUGCUCGAAAGUGUGGGUAUCAAACAGGAUUAGAUACCCUUGUAGUC